Long non-coding RNA from Prosopis cineraria, 1082 nucleotides. RefSeq lists it as uncharacterized. The transcript is spliced from 2 exons. Lineage: Eukaryota; Viridiplantae; Streptophyta; Magnoliopsida; Fabales; Fabaceae. The record is from RefSeq and is a predicted model, not a curated record.
AUUUUGGAAAGAAUUAGAGAAAAAUAAAGCAAAUGAAUUUAAUUGAGAUCUGGAUCUACUCAUGUUUAGCCAUAUUUUCUUGUAUUACUCUCUCUCCAAAUACAUGAAUUGAGAGGAUCUAGUUUAAUAUAAUUGGGGUCCUUGGCUUAUUCUGUGUGGUGUAAUGUCAGCCUCUCCAGGACAGAAUUGAUGUCCCAACCAAUUGAUCUGAUGUUGGCUUCUCAGGGUUACUUGUAUAGUAAUUCUUCUGUAAACUCUGAGCUUAAUAUUUUUACAAGUCUGUCAAAUACAAGGACAUCUUAACACACACACACAACAACAACAACACAAACACAUAGAUUCAUCAAAGAUGGUUAUUGAGAACUUGUUAUAUGCUAUGUGUUGUGGUGGGUGUGUUGAGAAUUAUAUACAUAAAUAUGCUUUAUAUUUUCUUAUCCUGUCCACUCACCAACCGGUUCCAGUGGAGCAAAGGAAAGUGACAAGCAUGGGUGCAAACUUCCUAGGAAAAGAGAAUUGAAACAAAGGAAAGACAAGCAAACAGGUUUCACUCAGAAGGAAGCUUACAUGUUUAUUUCUUACAGGUGCAGGAUUCAUUUGUUGCCGGAUGUGCAGGGGACAUGAAUGUUACUUGCUAUGGCCUAGAAGGCUAGAAGUUGGGUGGGUGAAUGCAAUGUAUACUGAACCAAGUGGUGGGAGAGAAUUUAAAUCCUGUCACAGGUCUCCCACUUUGGUACUUUGUACUGUAAAGCUGUGAAGCUUUAAUGGCAGACAAUCCGGAUUCAAAUCUGAAGUUGCAUGAUUAGUCAAGUAGUUCAUCACAGGCCGACUUGUUUGACAGUACUCUGUAGCUGGGGGAUCCGUUUUCCAGAGAUCUUCUGUGCUUGGUCUUUUGGGUGAAUUUGUGUUCAUUUUUCAACAGGCGGCUCUGCUACUAGAAAAUCUUUUUCAUUAUUUUACUUGAAAGAAAGAAAGAACGAAACUCUAAAGUCUCAAGUCUGAUAUAGAACAGCAAGCACAUGAUUGACGAAGUAUGUGUAAUUAUUUGUACAGAGCCUCAGAAAGAGAGAGUGAAUCCUUCAUCA